UUUCAGAGUACAGGUAUAUUCCUUUGUUUCAUUGACAUGAACAUGGCUUGUAAGUAGAAGGUGACAGUCACCCUUUUCUGUUUUACUAAAGACUGAGUCAUUUCUCUUCUCAUAGGGAUUUUCAGAGCUCCCCAACAGGGCCUCUGUGGUACGGAAUUCACACUGAAAGGAAGGUGACCCAGGACAUGGUGGAUACCGGCAUUCCAACCUGAGGAUCUUCUCUACAGUGAUGCAGGCACGACCCAAGGAUUGCCAUUCUUGAAAUCCUGUGGGAUGUUAACAUCAAAGACUGACAAAGUUUCCAAACAUCACUUCAAUAUUUUCAGAAGGAAGACUCCCACUAAUGAAGUAGACUGAGGG
Long non-coding RNA from Esox lucius (northern pike), 360 nucleotides. The record is from Ensembl. NCBI's taxonomy places the organism in Eukaryota, Metazoa, Chordata, Actinopteri, Esociformes, Esocidae.